UUUUAGAGUGUAGCAACAUAAAUAGCAAGCCUGUCAACAUAAAAUCCAAACACAACCAUAACAAACGUGAAACUGACAUGGCGCGUGCAAGAGACACAGUUUCUCGGGGAAAAUUGUGGAAUUUCUUUUUUGAACAUGGUGCCCAAAGAGCUGAAUUUGCCGAUAAAGUUGCUGAAGAUUUGCAUUACAACGUCGACCGCUUCUCCACAAACACCAAAGACAAACGAUUUUGUUGGGAGCUGCCGAAUAAAGCUGCAACCGGGAUGUGCUAUUUGGCCAGAAGCUCAACGGUUUUGAUUUGGCCACUUUCACCAAAGUGGAAGUUUCGGAAGAGCGUAUUUGCAGUGAUGACACGGAGGCAUCGGAAGAGAGCUCGAGGAUACCAAUAGAUUCGACCCUGACGCCCUUGAUGUGUGCGUUUCAUCAAAACCGGAUUCGAGCGAUUCAACAAUCUUUCUGACCCGUCUUCUGUCCUCGUCUACUGUCCUCAUCUUCGUCGGCCGUGGCAUCGGCGGAUCACCUGGACCAUCAUUUGCGUUAGCUGGUGGCGCUUGCGGUGCGAAAUGUCCAGAUGUGAACACUGGACGUAGCUCGAAUUCCCCGAAAACAACAAGCACGUCGAUGCAAUCGGUGGAUCCACCGACCUGAAUGCAGUCACGACCUGGACACGCCCUGCUCAUCUUCAUUAUUUGUCCCACGCAACCUGGAACUAUC
Molecule: long non-coding RNA, 714 nt
Organism: Aedes albopictus (Asian tiger mosquito)
Lineage: Eukaryota; Metazoa; Arthropoda; Insecta; Diptera; Culicidae
Exons: 3
Source: RefSeq, a predicted model, not a curated record